Non-coding RNA from Sturnus vulgaris (Common starling), 125 nucleotides. The record is from RefSeq and is a predicted model, not a curated record. Lineage: Eukaryota; Metazoa; Chordata; Aves; Passeriformes; Sturnidae.
UCCUGGGAGAAAAUUAAAAAAAAAAAACGGCGCCCGAUUGGUCGGUGUGCGGUUGUGACGUCAUUGAUCUGAGGGGCGGAGCUUAACGGGGAAAGGCGGGAAAUACAACGACGCCUGAUUGGUUG